Molecule: long non-coding RNA, 445 nt
Filed under: Saimiri boliviensis boliviensis (Bolivian squirrel monkey)
Lineage: Eukaryota; Metazoa; Chordata; Mammalia; Primates; Cebidae
Description: lncRNA (ENSSBOG00000036480.1)
Source: RNAcentral
CAGCUUCAUUAUGUUAUUACCUUUCUGCCUCCCACCUACAAAGAUGAAGAAGAUGAGGAGGAAGAAGAAAAAGAUAUUCGUAGAGAACUGACUGCUUUGCACAAAUGUGCUUGUUCCCUGGAGACCAACGAGAAAGAAUGUGGCAGCAUCUGUAAUUGUCAGAAUGGAGGCACUUGUGAUCUUCUGACUAGACUGUCCCAAGGGUACCUGCGGAGCUGGCUGCUCUUCAGAAUGUCAGUGUGUGGAGGAGAACACCCUGGAAUGCAGUGCCAAAAAUGGUAGUUGCAUCUGCAAAUCUGGUUACCAAGGCAACAGAUGCCAGAAAGAUGGCCUCUGGGGACCAGAGUGCUGGCUCUCCUAUGUGCCCUGUGAAAAUGGAGGUCAGCGCAACAGAAAAACUGGAAGUUGUGACUGCACUCCUGCUUACACAGGAAAAUCCAGUACC